UGGGGAAUCUUCCGCAAUGGACGAAAGUCUGACGGAGCAACGCCGCGUGAGUGAAGAAGGUUUUCGGGUCGUAAAACUCUGUCUUUUGGGGCGAACGUGAGUAUGGUGAACAAUCAUAGUCAGUGACGGUACCAAAGGAGGAAGCCACGGCUAACUACGUGCCAGCAGCCGCGGUAAUACGUAGGUGGCAAGCGUUGUCCGGAAUUAUUGGGCGUAAAGAGCGCGUAGGCGGGAUAGUCAGUCUGUUGUAAAAGUGCGGGGCUCAACCCCGUGAUGGCAAUGGAAACAGCUAUUCUUGAGUGCAGGAGAGGAAAGUGGAAUUCCCAGUGUAGCGGUGAAAUGCGUAGAUAUUGGGAGGAACACCAGUGGCGAAGGCGACUUUCUGGACUGUGUCUGACGCUGAGGCGCGAAAGCCAGGGGAGCGAACGGGAUUAGAUACCCCGGUAGUCCUGGCCGUAAACGAUGGGUACUAGGUGUGGGAGGUAUCGACCCCUUCCGUGCCGGAGUUAACGCAAUAAGUACCCCGCCUGGGGAGUACGGUCGCAAGACUGAAACUCAAAUGAAUUGACGGGGUCAUAGCUGUUUCCUG
This 589-nucleotide ribosomal RNA is filed under the name uncultured bacterium. Its description in RNAcentral is "partial 16S ribosomal RNA". It matches the Rfam family "Bacterial small subunit ribosomal RNA", at positions 355 to 1376 of the family's 1533-position model. The record is from RNAcentral.